ACAGAGGGUGCAAGCGUUGUUCGGAAUUACUGGGCGUAAAGCGCGUGUAGGCGGCUUUUCAAGUCAGACGUGAAAUCCCUCGGCUUAACCGAGGAACUGCGUCUGAUACUGUCAAGCUAGAGUGUCAGAGGGGAUGGCGGAAUUCCUGGUGUAGAGGUGAAAUUCGUAGAUAUCAGGAGGAACACCUGUGGCGAAGGCGGCCAUCUGGAAGACAACUGACGCUGAGACGCGAAAGCGUGGGGAGCAAACAGGA
This 253-nucleotide ribosomal RNA is filed under the name uncultured prokaryote. RNAcentral's name for it is "partial 16S ribosomal RNA". It matches the Rfam family "Bacterial small subunit ribosomal RNA", at positions 525 to 777 of the family's 1533-position model. The record is from RNAcentral.